UCCAUGGUGGUGUAGUGGUUAACAUCGCUGUCUUUCAUUAGUGAUUACACAGCAGCCCGGGGUUCGAUUCCCCGUCGUGGAA
Molecule: non-coding RNA, 82 nt
Organism: Hysterangium stoloniferum
Lineage: Eukaryota; Fungi; Basidiomycota; Agaricomycetes; Hysterangiales; Hysterangiaceae
Source: the annotation of a GenBank genome assembly